GUCCGAGGAAUGAUGUACUACUACAGGGCGCUUAAAAUGCUUUCGUUUCUCGACUAUGCUUCGGAGAUGGACAUUCGAC
Molecule: small nucleolar RNA, 79 nt
Organism: Andrographis paniculata
Lineage: Eukaryota; Viridiplantae; Streptophyta; Magnoliopsida; Lamiales; Acanthaceae
Product: small nucleolar RNA J33
Exons: 1
Source: RefSeq, a predicted model, not a curated record